RNAcentral lists this non-coding RNA (23 nucleotides) under Arabidopsis thaliana (thale cress). The record is from RNAcentral. Lineage: Eukaryota; Viridiplantae; Streptophyta; Magnoliopsida; Brassicales; Brassicaceae.
AAGGACAAUUGGUGACAGACUUU